Jaculus jaculus (lesser Egyptian jerboa) is the source of this 411-nucleotide long non-coding RNA. RefSeq lists it as uncharacterized. The transcript has 3 exons. The record is from RefSeq and is a predicted model, not a curated record. NCBI's taxonomy places the organism in Eukaryota, Metazoa, Chordata, Mammalia, Rodentia, Dipodidae.
UUCAGAUCCGGGGAUUUCUGUCACGGUUUGAUAAUGUGCUUCCUGUCAGCCUGGCAUUUGACAAAUGUACUGCUUGCUCAUCCAAAGUUCUUGAUCAAUAUGAACGGGAAGGAUUUAAUUUCCUUGAGAAGGUGUUCAAUUCCUCACAUUCCUUCUUAGAAGACUUGACUGGUCUUACACUGCUACAUCAGGAGACCCAAGCAGCCGAGAUCUGGGACAUGAGUGAUGAUGAGACCAUCUGAGACUGCAGCUGAGGAGUACGCAGCCAGUACUGGUGAUCUGAGCCCUGGACCUCCCCAGUCCUCCUUUCCAUGCUGGGAGGACUAAGCUCUGACCAGGUUCUGCCCUCUCCUGCCACACCAACCACCAGUUCUGAGUUCAAUAAUAACCCUGGCUUUGGCGUCGCCAUUA